This 6802-nucleotide long non-coding RNA is filed under the name Fragaria vesca (wild strawberry). RNAcentral describes it as "long non-coding RNA (FVES_LNC001671)". The record is from RNAcentral. Lineage: Eukaryota; Viridiplantae; Streptophyta; Magnoliopsida; Rosales; Rosaceae.
GGUUAUUCAACGUCACACAACAGUAAAGAUAGGGAAUAAACCGUUGUAGCUUACUGAAAAAUACACAACGAUAGAAAUGAAAACCAACAGUUGUCUGAAAAGGUAAAAAUACAACGAAAAUGUUUUAUUGUUUGUUGUCUAAGUGGACUUGUCGAUGCCGCGCAUGGCAUCGAUCUGCGCAGCGACUUAUACAACGAAAGUAUUGAACUGUUGAGAAAAAUGUGAUCACACAACGGUGAUUUCCACACUUAUCUGAAGAUUCAAUCAGACAAGCCCGAGAUAUACAACGGAAAACCUAUAGUCACACAACGGUGUUCCAACAGAAGUAUGAGCAUUACGAUAGAGGGCAAGACAAGGGCAAACAACAUGACACCUCCCGGGAUAACAACCAGGGAUGUGGUUCAGACCGUCGCCAUAGUGGGCAGCGGGGACGGGACCAUCCUUAUCGGUCCCAAGAGCAGAGCCCCCAGCAGCAACAACGUCGCUCCUCCCCGUCACCCCGUUAUGAGGUCCACACUACCCUGACCACUACAUAUGAAGAUAUAUGGGCCAAGCAUAAAGACCUCAUGACACGACCCACCCCAAAUUUCAUCCUGAAACCCAGAGUAAGUCGUGCGGGGACCACCUCCAAGGAAAAUUUACCGAAAAAUCGGCUUAACCUCCCUUGAAAAUGGACUACCCUUCCUAAUAAUACCUGCAAACACUUUUGAAAAUUUAAAUCCAACCUUAAACUCCUGGAGCCUCCGUGCUCCCCAAAUCACAACACCACCCAAAUUAUUUACUAAUCUAAACAAAUCUCAUAUCCAACCAUUUAUAGGUUUAGAGCAACUCUAACAGGAAGAAAGGAAACAUAAUAAAUUAACAAACGGAAGCUAUAUGAUGACUAUGCCUCAUCCCCAUGUACGCCCGACCUCAACUAUGCAAUCCUGCAAACUGGGCAUUUUUAAAACGAAGAGCCCAAGGGAAAACAUUUGAAACAAGUUAGAGUGAGUGGACAAAAAUAAAUUAACGAAUAAAAUAUUUAUGUUUCCCUAAAUCAAUUUCCAAGGAAAAUCGAAUGCAUGCUGCAAGCGAUAAAACUUUUAUCUCAUAAAUGUCGAGCCUCUCAGGCUUUAUAAUAUAUGUAUGUAUUUACACACGUCCAUACUCCCUAUAUAAAUUCAUGGGUCUAUAUAGGGCUACUACGCUCGCGUCCAACGCUCACGUCACGUCUUAAUGCGGUGCUACACUACGCCAUUAAGGUGGACAGACGGGUGUAUAAAUAUGUGCCCAUACCCCCUAUAUGAAUUAAACACUCAUAUAGGGCUACUACACUCACGUCCAACGCUCACGUCACACCAUAAUGCGGCUAUAUGCUACGCCAUUAAGGUGGACAGACACAUAUGGCUAGCUAGCAUUUAUAUACAUACUCUCUCAUAAAUACAUAUUUAUAUCCACCGAAAAUCCCAUUUGCUCCUCGGCGGACGGCGGCGGGAGGACGGCCGGAAAAUUGGGCAGCGGGAGGAGCUCGGGGAGAGAGAAAACCGGGAAGAAAAAAAAAAAAGAGAAGGGAGAAAAUGGCUUUGGGCCUCCUCCCCCCAAACCGGUCCAACUUAAUACCCAUUUGAAAACAAACCCAACUCCAAAAAUAAAACACCCCGAAAAUAAUACCCGAAUAAAAAUUACCUUUUACUAGCUAAAAUUUACUAUUUUUACCGUUGUCAUAUUUUCUCCCACGAAUAAUUCCCCGAAAUUAAUCGUCUCUCAAAACACCUCUAGGGACCGAUUAAACUAUUACCUCAAUGAAGGAGACAGUAAAAUUCUUAUUAUAACCAAGCUAGUAAAUAAGGUAAAAAUUUAAGGGUCGGGAUGUGACAAUUCUCCCCUCCUUAUAAAAAUUUCGUCCUCGAAAUUUACAUACCUGACAAUCAAAAAGAUAGGGAUACUGCUGCCUCAUUUGCUCCUCUGAUUCCCAAGUAGCUUCCCCUACUUGAUGACUCCUCCACAGAACUUUAACAAGAGGAAAAAGAUUUGCAUCUAGCACUUGCUCCUUUAGGUCGAGAAUCUGAACCGGCUCCUCAUCAUAGGCCAAAACUUUUUUCCCAAUUAAUCGACUGCUCUCGCAACACAUGAGAGAGAUCGGCAAUAAACUUGCGAAGCAUGGAUACAUGAAACACAUUAUGUAUCCUGGAUAACUCUAGAGGCAAAACUAACUGAAACACAAGAGAGCCAACUUGAUCUAAAAACCCAUAAGGACCAAUAAAUCUCGGACCAAGCUUUUCACGUUACCAAAACGUACCACCCCUUUCCAAGGGGAUAAUUUCGAAAAACACUCAAACACUCACUUGAAACUCAUGGUCCUUCCUGCGGACAUCUUUAUAACUCUUCUGGCUACUAAGAGCUGCUUUGAGUCUAUCUCUGACUCUUUUAACCUUUUCAUUUCUCAAAGACUCUAAAUCCUUCGUUGAACUAUCACUAACGUUUGCACGUAAGUGAGUUCAGUGAUACCUGCUCCAGAGUACGAGUACCUGUAGGUAUGCACACUCUUUCCUGAGCAAUGGAAAUAGCUAACCCAAAUAAAACGCAUAAAUUUGCUAUCACCAUCGGGCUCAAAUCUCCUAACAUCACGCAACAACCUCGUCAUUACGUUGCUCACAGCUCGACAAUGAAGCCCACUUGCUAGGAAACUAAAAUUCACACAUUCCCACAUGCUCAUAGGGGUCAAAAUUAAGACCCGAUAAUUGAACAGAUUUUUAAGGAUGCACACACUACAACAAUCACUCCUAUUUCUGAGACACCUCGCAGAGUCUUUCGCGGAGCCAAAGCUCUCGCAAGUCCACAAGAUAACCUUGCUCUACCUAAAUGACCAGUCCACCAACAUAUGAUAACCUCGAUUGCCUAAAUAACAUUAUGAAAAGAUCAAUACCACGACACUUAGAUCUCUCCACCAAAACUAUUACAUUACCAUUUUAUGCACCACAAACUAGCAACUUAUGGGAAUUUCCAACUCUCUCCUGAUUCUGCUAUCUCCACUAUUAUUUACCACAAACCAGAAGAUAAUCUGAAGCAUGACUAACAUGUGGAAACUGGAUAUUCCUCCUUGCUCGCCAUAAACAAAAAACUAAUUAAUGCCCACGAAGAUUGGCACAGUCAAUUCAUGAUGCCAAACUUGACGUUGAAAUCCACAUAAAUAGAACACCUUCCUUAAGCAUUGACAAAAAUUUACAUCUCCAGCCAUGCUACUUAUUCGGGUGCAACUACGACCCCAAGAGCAGUAAUUAAAAGCACACGGCUCACGCUAGCCGUUCCAUAAGAAUGAUUCUAAAUACCAAAACCUUUGAAUCCGACAAAUACAUUUCCUUUUUUUUUUUUUUUUUUUUUUUAAUUUUACCUUUUACCUCUAACAACAAUAAAUCUGAUAGCAGAAAACAAUCUGAAAAUCAGAUAUGCUCAAGUCUCCUCCACAUCCUAGGGCCACGACUUCCCACCAAAAAGAUUCUUCGAAAACCGAGCUUGCAAUAACAUGCGACUAACAAAAGCAAAGAAAAAUUUUUAUACAAGACCCACUACUACACCUUGUGGUUCACCAACUAACGAAAACCAUGAAUUCAAGCAAGAAUCAAAACUCAUGGCUUAACUCAGCUCAAGCUCCAAAAGAAAUAAUUUAAAGCACACGAAAAGCAAGUCCUCUAACUUCGAGCUCAAAAGCUCCACAGAUCUCCGAUAUCCGCCAGAACCCGCUUCGAAAUCACACUAGAAACCUCCACUAAUCAUCCUGACACCAACAGAUAAACGCACAACCAAAAAGCAAAGACCUCCCAAACAAAAACUUGGAUCAAUGAGUGGUCCCACCACAAAACGAUCCUGAGAAGAGACGUUGAUCAACCUAUCAAUAAAUCUACUAUUCGCCAUAAUAAUCUCUUAAUAAACCUUGACUCGAAAAUCUUCUUGAGUCAACAGGGGAAAACCUUCUCCCAUAAUGCUACAUCAUGAAAUAUACCUACAAUAGAGACCAAAAUCAUCAGAAAACUUACUAUUCAUCAACUACUAACAUCCAUCAUUUCAAAAUAUAUUACCACUACCAUCUGGAUAAAAUGCUCUAAGGAUAGAAACAUAUCCAUAAUUAGCACUGCAGAAACCAGAACAUAUACCGCCAUAACCAAAAUUAUCCCAACAUGUUCCCAAUUGAUUUAUGUUGCGGAUAAAAUUGUCGGCAAAAUAGCCUUCAAUCAAGACUUAUCUAAAUUCACAUUUAGCUCUUUAUGCAGCAAUACCUUACCACCCAAUCACUAGCCACAAAUUUCCUAAAACCUUGAUUAACCCAAGACUAGGGUCCUCAACAACUCAUAUAGGUACCCCUUUGAAUUACCAUUGGAUACCUCACCUCAUCAUUUCAACUAACUUUUUCAUCAAUAGAAUACACCACUAUUUCGAACUUUCCUUUCAACUCAACUCUCUUAGAAGUCACGUAACUCAAUACCAAAAUCUCCCAUCAAUCAAUUUUUGACUCCAAUCUUGCCCACUAAAAAAAUGGACAACUCCAAGGCAUUAAUCAUCAACAUUUCACCCAACAUAUUUGCAGAAGAUGCUCACCUUAGCAUCUUAAUCUGAAACCUUAAUCUUAAUUAACCCAAUCAAUCAUUGGAUACCUGAAAGGAAUGCUAACAAGCUUUUUCGUUCCCCACUCGCAAAACAACUCCAACAAUUAAUAUCAAAGAUAUUAAAUUAAUGAACUUUGGAAUAGGUGCAAACUAUACACCUUUUCAAAACUCGAAGGAUGAACACUCAAGAGGUCAGCGUACUAAGGCAUAGUUUUAGAGAUGUAGACAUUUAUGGCACACUACUGUCCAUAAAUAAAAGAAGAACAACUACAUCACAACCCUAAUCAACACAUAGUGUCUUAAGCAUAUAAUGCUAAUAGAUCCGCCGCGGUUGGACAAUCACUCUAUAGACACUAAGUGCGACCAAGAAUAUAAGGUAGUACUAAAAAAAGAAAGGAAACGAAUAACCUAGUGCUCUGAUACCAACUGACACGACCCACCCCAAAUUUCACCCUGAAACCCAGAGUAAGUCGUGCGGGGACCACCUCCAAGGAAAAUUUACUGAAAAAUCGGCAUAACCUCCCUUGAAAAUGGACAACCCUUCCUAAUAAUACCUGCAAACACUUUUGAAAAUUUAAAUCCAACCUUAAACUCCUGGAGCCUCCGUGCUCCCCAAAUCACAACACCACCCAAAUUAUUUACUAAUCUAAACAAAUCUCAUAUCCAACCAUUUAUAGGUUCAGAGCAACUCUAACAGGAAGAAAGGAAACAUAAUAAAUUAACAAGCGGAAGCUAUAUGAUGACUAUGCCUCAUCCCCAUGUACGCCCGACCUCAACUAUGCAAUCCUGCAAACUGGGCAUUUUUAAAACGAAGAGCCCAGGGGAAAACAUUUGAAACACAUUAGAGUGAGUGGACAAAAAUAAAUUAACGAAUAAAAUAUUUAUGUUUCCCCAAAUCAAUUUCCAAGGAAAAUCGAAUGCAUGCUGCAAGCGAUAAAACUUUUAUCUCAUAAAUGUCGAGCCUCUCAGGCUUUAUAAUAUAUGUAUGUAUUUACACACGUCCAUACUCCCUAUAUAAAUUCAUGGGUCUAUAUAGGGCUACUACGCUCGCGUCCAACGCUCACGUCACGCCUUAAUGCGGUGCUACACUACGCCAUAAGGUGGACAGACGGGUGUAUAAAUAUGUGCCUAUACCCCUUAUAUGAAUUAAACACUCAUAUAGGGCUACUACGCUCGCGUCCAACGCUCACGUCACAUCAUAAUGCGGCUAUAUGCUACGCCAUUAAGGUGGACAGACACAUAGGGCUAGCUAGCUUUUAUAUACAUACUCUCUCAUAAAUACAUAUUUAUAUCCACCGAAAAUCCCAUUUUCGGUAACUCUCCAAGAGAAAUAAAAAUCGUCAAAAUUAAAAUGACGUCAAAAUGUUCCACAACAUUAAUUGUUCAUCUAUGAACUAUAGCAUGCAUUUUAUUUAAAACAAAAGUCCACUCACAACUCUAGGCAUAAGCCCGACGAAAUCCAAAUCGCCACUCCAGAGAGGUUUCCUUGAACCCUGGCACAAAUACAAAAUUAAUUUCCCAACUAAAACUCCAAUAUUUAAACAAAAUAGGCAAAAUUAACCGAGAGCCAUAACUACGCUCAUCAUUGCCUAACUUCAAUAUUCUUAAAUCGAAACGAUCCGAACUUAAAUAUCAUACUCGGCAGCCGUAAUUACAACCUCCCCAAAAAUACGACUUCGGAAAUUCAUAAACCUAUCCAAAACUCAUACAAAAAUUUCAUAACUCACUUCAACAAACUCCCCUUAAUAUUCUAAAUUUAAAACCCUAAAAAUCUUCCAAACAGUGGCGGCGGCUCCGCCGGUAGCGGCGGCCGGAGGCCGAUUCCGGCGACCUCCAAAUCCUACCAAAUUUUAACAGUAGCUUCCUCUCCACUCCCUCUACAACUUUCCUAACUAGCACAAACCCAAAAUCCAAGCCUAACUAGGUCAAACGAGCAAAAACAUCUAAAACACCCUAGAACUUCCACCUCUAAUUUCUCCUUACCUGAAGCGAACCGGAGUGAGCCCUUUUAGGGCAAGGCAGCUGGGUUGGAGACCUUCAAAACCGUACCAAGCUUGCCCGGAUUGGUGGCCGGAGGAGGGAGUUCCGGCGAAGUGAAGCUUUGGACAGUCGGACCUUUAGGGGGAGAGCACUCUUUCACGACGGAGCUAGGGAAGCUGCUACCGAUCCAGGGAGGUAGCUGGGAUGAUGGCCUACCGAACGGGACCGGUGCGGUAGNNNNN